This 464-nucleotide ribosomal RNA is filed under the name uncultured bacterium. RNAcentral describes it as "partial 16S ribosomal RNA". It matches the Rfam family "Bacterial small subunit ribosomal RNA", at positions 28 to 507 of the family's 1533-position model. The record is from RNAcentral.
GACGAACGCUGGCGGCGUGCUUAACACAUGCAAGUCGAACGGAAAGGCCCAGCUUGCUGGGUGCUCGAGUGGCGAACGGGUGAGUAACACGUGGGUGAUCUGCCUCUAACUUCGGGAUAAGCUUGGGAAACUGGGUCUAAUACCGGAUAGGACAAUCGUUUAGUGUCGGUUGUGGAAAGUUUUUUCGGUUAGGGAUGAGCCCGCGGCCUAUCAGCUUGUUGGUGGGGUAAUGGCCUACCAAGGCGUCGACGGGUAGCCGGCCUGAGAGGGUGGACGGCCACAUUGGGACUGAUAUACGGCCCAGACUCCUACGGGAGGCAGCAGUGGGGAAUAUUGCACAAUGGGCGCAAGCCUGAUGCAGCGACGCCGCGUGGGGGAUGACGGCCUUCGGGUUGUAAACCUCUUUCGACAGGGACGAAGCUUUGGUGACGGUACCUGUAUAAGAAGCACCGGCUAACUACGUG